Molecule: transfer RNA, 72 nt
Filed under: Candidatus Aenigmatarchaeota archaeon
Lineage: Archaea; Nanobdellati; Candidatus Aenigmatarchaeota
Description: tRNA-Tyr
Rfam family: tRNA
About the family: Transfer RNA (tRNA) molecules are approximately 80 nucleotides in length. Their secondary structure includes four short double-helical elements and three loops (D, anti-codon, and T loops). Further hydrogen bonds mediate the characteristic L-shaped molecular structure. tRNAs have two regions of fundamental functional importance: the anti-codon, which is responsible for specific mRNA codon recognition, and the 3' end, to which the tRNAs corresponding amino acid is attached (by aminoacyl-tRNA synthetases). tRNAs cope with the degeneracy of the genetic code in two manners: having more than one tRNA (with a specific anti-codon) for a particular amino acid; and 'wobble' base-pairing, i.e. permitting non-standard base-pairing at the 3rd anti-codon position.
Source: RNAcentral
CCCCCGAUAGCUCAACGGUAGAGCAUUCGCCUGUAGAGCGAAGGGUUGCUGGUUCAAAUCCGGCUCGGGGGA